UUAACGAGUGGCCUUGUGCCGCGAAGUGAUUGAUACCAUGCUUCCAAGAAAAGCCUCUAAGCUUCAGUUACAAAGAGACCGUACCGCAAACCGACACAGGUGGGCAGGAUGAGAAUUCUAAGGCGCUUGAGAGAACUCAGGAGAAGGAACUCGGCAAAUUAGCACCGUAACUUCGGGAGAAGGUGCGCCCUGGUAGCGUGAAAGCCCUCGCGGCUGGAGCGUGAAAGGGUUGCAGUGAAAUGGUGGCUGCGACUGUUUAAUAAAAACACAGCACUCUGCAAACACGAAAGUGGACGUAUAGGGUGUGACGCCUGCCCGGUGCCGGAAGGUUAAGUGAUGGGGUGCAAGCUCUUGAUCGAAGCCCCGGUAAACGGCGGCCGUAACAAUAACGGUCCUAAGGUAGCGAAAUUCCUUGUCGGGUAAGUUCCGACCUGCACGAAUGGCGUAACGAUGGCCACACUGUCUCCUCCUGAGACUCAGCGAAGUUGAAAUGUUUGUGAAGAUGCAAUCUCCCCGCGGCAAGACGGAAAGACCCCAUGAACCUUUACUGUAGCUUUGCAUUGGACUUUGAACCGGUCUGUGUAGGAUAGGUGGGAGGCUUUGAAGCUGGGACGCUAGUUCUGGUGGAGCCAACCUUGAAAUACCACCCUGGUUUGUUUGAGGUUCUAACCAUGGCCCGUGAAUCCGGGUCUGGGACCGUGCAUGGUAGGCAGUUUGACUGGGGCGGUCUCCUCCCAAAGUGUAACGGAGGAGUACGAAGGUACGCUAGGUACGGUCGGACAUCGUGCUAAUAGUGCAAUGGCAUAAGCGUGCUUGACUGCGAGACCCACAAGUCGAGCAGGUACGAAAGUAGGUCAUAGUGAUCCGGUGGUUCUGUAUGGAAGGGCCAUCGCUCAACGGAUAAAAGGUACUCUGGGGAUAACAGGCUGAUACCGCCCAAGAGUUCAUAUCGACGGCGGUGUUUGGCACCUCGAUGUCGGCUCAUCACAUCCUGGGGCUGUAGCCGGUCCCAAGGGUAUGGCUGUUCGCCAUUUAAAGUGGUACGUGAGCUGGGUUUAAAACGUCGUGAGACAGUUUGGUCCCUAUCUGCCGUGGGCGCUGGAAAUUUGAAGGGACCUGCUCCUAGUACGAGAGGACCGGAGUGGACUAACCUCUGGUGUACCGGUUAUGACGCCAGUCGUAUCGCCGGGUAGCUAAGUUGGGAAGAGAUAAACGCUGAAAGCAUCUAAGCGUGAAACUCGCCUUAAGAUAAGAUUUCCCUGGGGACUUGAUCCCCCUGAAGGGUCGUCGAAGACCACGACGUUGAUAGGCUGGGUGUGGAAGCGCAGCAAUGCGUUAAGCUAACCAGUACUAAUUGCCCGUGUGGCUUGAUU
This 1373-nucleotide ribosomal RNA is filed under the name metagenome. RNAcentral describes it as "bacterial LSU rRNA". It matches the Rfam family "Bacterial large subunit ribosomal RNA", at positions 1566 to 2925 of the family's 2925-position model. The record is from RNAcentral.